AGCGAACGUUUGCGGCGGGCCUAACACAUGCAAGUCGAACGCACUAGCAAUAGUGAGUGGCGCACGGGUGCGUAACACGUGGGUAAUCAACCCUUCAGCCUGGGAUAACGACUCGAAAGGGUCGCUAAUACCGGAUACGGCGCGAGAGGCUUCGGCUUCUCACGAGAAAGCCACGCAAGGGGCACUGAAGGACGAGCCUGCGGCCCAUCAGCUAGUUGGUGAGGUAAGAGCUCACCAAGGCUAAGACGGGUAGCUGGUCUGAGAGGAUGGCCAGCCACACUGGAACUGAGACACGGUCCAGACUCCUACGGGAGGCAGCAGUGGGGAAUCUUGCGCAAUGGGCGAAAGCCUGACGCAGCGACGCCGCGUGGGCGAAGAAGGCCUCGG
Molecule: ribosomal RNA, 387 nt
Filed under: uncultured bacterium
Lineage: Bacteria
Description: bacterial SSU rRNA
Rfam family: Bacterial small subunit ribosomal RNA
Source: RNAcentral